GGAGUUGUGGCUCAGAGGUAGAGCACUUGCCUAGCACGUGAGAAGCUCUGGUUCGAUCCCCAGCACCA
RNAcentral lists this transfer RNA (68 nucleotides) under Ictidomys tridecemlineatus (thirteen-lined ground squirrel). Its description in RNAcentral is "Spermophilus tridecemlineatus (thirteen-lined ground squirrel) tRNA". It matches the Rfam family "tRNA". Rfam says of the family: Transfer RNA (tRNA) molecules are approximately 80 nucleotides in length. Their secondary structure includes four short double-helical elements and three loops (D, anti-codon, and T loops). The record is from Rfam by way of RNAcentral. Lineage: Eukaryota; Metazoa; Chordata; Mammalia; Rodentia; Sciuridae.